Molecule: ribosomal RNA, 503 nt
Filed under: uncultured Laetiporus
Lineage: Eukaryota; Fungi; Basidiomycota; Agaricomycetes; Polyporales; Laetiporaceae
Description: partial 18S ribosomal RNA
Rfam family: 5.8S ribosomal RNA (bases 113-266)
Source: RNAcentral
GGCCGGCUUGGUGAAGUGGUUGGCCGCCGGCCCGGGAUUGGAACCCUGGUUUUUUACCCCAAACUYAAAAAGGAMMWUMRGAUGGUCUUACGCGUGUAACGCAUCGUAAUAUAACUUUCAGCAACGGAUCUCUUGGCUCUCGCAUCGAUGAAGAACGCAGCGAAAUGCGAUAAGUAAUGUGAAUUGCAGAAUUCAGUGAAUCAUCGAAUCUUUGAACGCACCUUGCGCUCCUUGGCAUUCCGAGGAGCAUGCCUGUUUGAGUGUCAUGAAACUCUCAACCCCUGCCAUCUUUGCGGAUGAGCGUCGGUUGGAUUUUGGAGGUUGCCGGACUCGUUCGGCUCCUCUUGAAAGCAUAGUAAAGCUUGGACCUGACCGACCGGGUGGACGUGAUAGAAAGUCACCGUCGACCGAAGGGUCCGUCGCUGAACGGUUCAAGCUUUGUUUGUCGUCUUCGGACGAACAUCUCUGACCUCKACCUCAAAUCAGGUAGGACUACCCGGUAG